This 401-nucleotide ribosomal RNA is filed under the name uncultured bacterium. RNAcentral describes it as "bacterial SSU rRNA". It matches the Rfam family "Bacterial small subunit ribosomal RNA", at positions 930 to 1347 of the family's 1533-position model. The record is from RNAcentral.
UAGCGGAGCGUGUGGUUUAAUUCGAGGCUACGCGAAAAACCUUACCUGGGUUUGACAUCAUGGUUAAUCUUGUGGAAACACGGGAGUGCUUCGGCCACCAUGACAGGGGCUGCAUGGCUGUCGUCAGCUCGUGUCGUGAGAUGUUCGGUUAAGUCCGAAAACGAGCGCAACCCCUAGCGUUAGUUACAAGUGUCUAGCGUGACUGCCUGCGGCAAGCAGGAGGAAGGGGGGGAUGACGUCAAGUCAGCAUGGCCUUUAUAUCCAGGGCUACACACACGCUACAAUGGCGCGUACAAUGGGCAGCGAAGCCGCGAGGCGGAGCCAAUCCUGCAAAGCGCGUCGUAUUUCGGAUUGCAGGCUGCAACUCGCCUGCAUGAAGUCGGAGUUGCUAGUAACCGCGA